This 468-nucleotide ribosomal RNA is filed under the name uncultured bacterium. Its description in RNAcentral is "partial 16S ribosomal RNA". It matches the Rfam family "Bacterial small subunit ribosomal RNA", at positions 28 to 507 of the family's 1533-position model. The record is from RNAcentral.
GACGAACGCUGGCGGCGUGCUUAACACAUGCCAGUCGAACGGAAAGGCCCUGCUUUUGUGGGGUGCUCGAGUGGCGAACGGGUGAGUAACACGUGAGUAACCUGCCCUUGACUUUGGGAUAACUUCAGGAAACUGGGGCUAAUACCGGAUAGGAGCUCCUGCUGCAUGGUGGGGGUUGGAAAGUUUCGGCGGUUGGGGAUGGACUCGCGGCUUAUCAGCUUGUUGGUGGGGUAGUGGCUUACCAAGGCUUUGACGGGUAGCCGGCCUGAGAGGGUGACCGGCCACAUGGGGACUGAGAUACGGCCCAGAGUCCUACGGGAGGCAGCAGUGGGGAAUAUGGCACAAUGGGCGGAAGCCUGAUGCAGCAACGCCGCGGGCGGGAUGACGGCCUUCGGGUUGUAAACCGCUUUCGCCUGUGACGAAGCGUGAGUGACGGUAAUGGGUAAAGAAGCACCGGCUAACUACGUG